UUUCGCAAUGCCCGAAAGGGUGACGAAGCGACGCCGCGUGAGCGAAGAAGGCCCUAGGGUUGUAAAGCUCUGUCGGGGGUUAUGAAAUGUAGACUGGCUAAUACCCAGUUUAUUUGACAAAGGCCCCAAAGGAAGCCACGGCUAACUCUGUGCCAGCAGCCGCGGUAAUACAGAGGUGGCAAGCGUUGUUCGGUAUUAUUGGGCGUAAAGAGCACGUAGGUGGUUUUGUAAGUCAGAUGUGAAAGCCUUCUGUUCAAAGGAAGAACGGCAUCUGAAACUGCAGAUCUUGAGUGUAGGAGGGGAGAGUGGAACUUCUGGUGGAGCGGUGAAAUGCGUAGAUAUCAGAAGGAACGUCGGCGGCGAAAGCGACUCUCUGGCCUAUUACUGACACUGAGUGUGCGAAAGUUAGGGGAGCAAACGGGAUUAGAUACCCCGGUAGUCCUAACUGUAAACGAUGGGCACUAAGUAGAGGGGUUUUA
RNAcentral lists this ribosomal RNA (479 nucleotides) under uncultured anaerobic ammonium-oxidizing bacterium. Its description in RNAcentral is "bacterial SSU rRNA". It matches the Rfam family "Bacterial small subunit ribosomal RNA", at positions 364 to 833 of the family's 1533-position model. The record is from RNAcentral.